Molecule: non-coding RNA, 45 nt
Filed under: Schistosoma margrebowiei
Lineage: Eukaryota; Metazoa; Platyhelminthes; Trematoda; Strigeidida; Schistosomatidae
Source: RNAcentral
AUACAGCUGGCGAGUCCCAAGCAGAACGAAACAUGAGUCCUGUAU